UACGGAGGGUGCGAGCGUUAAUCGGAAUUACUGGGCGUAAAGCGCGCGUAGGCGGCUUCGUCAGUUGGAUGUGAAAGCCCGGGCUCAACCUGGGAACUGCAUUCAAUACUGCGGAGCUAGAGUAUGGUAGAGGUGAGUGGAAUUCCAGGUGUAGCGGUGAAAUGCGUAGAUAUCUGGAGGAACAUCAGUGGCGAAGGCGACUCACUGGACCAAUACUGACGCUGAGGUGCGAAAGCGUGGGGAGCAACAGGAUUAAGAUACCCGGGUAGUCC
RNAcentral lists this ribosomal RNA (272 nucleotides) under uncultured bacterium. RNAcentral describes it as "partial 16S ribosomal RNA". It matches the Rfam family "Bacterial small subunit ribosomal RNA", at positions 524 to 796 of the family's 1533-position model. The record is from RNAcentral.